UACGGAGAGUGCAAACGUUGUUCGGAUUCACUGGGCGUAAAGGGCACGUAGGCGGCUCGGCAAAUCGGUCGUGGAAUCCCGGCGCUUAACGUCGGAACGGCGGCCGAAAAUACCGGGCUCGAGGGCGUGAGGGGUCACUGGAACUCCUGGUGAAGCGGUGAAAUGCGUAGAUAUCAAGAGGAACACCUGCGGCGAAGGCGGGUUGCUGGGCCGACACUGACGCUGAAGCGCGAAAGCUAGGGGAGCGAACGGG
RNAcentral lists this ribosomal RNA (253 nucleotides) under uncultured prokaryote. RNAcentral's name for it is "partial 16S ribosomal RNA". It matches the Rfam family "Bacterial small subunit ribosomal RNA", at positions 524 to 776 of the family's 1533-position model. The record is from RNAcentral.